RNAcentral lists this ribosomal RNA (467 nucleotides) under uncultured bacterium. RNAcentral's name for it is "partial 16S ribosomal RNA". It matches the Rfam family "Bacterial small subunit ribosomal RNA", at positions 28 to 507 of the family's 1533-position model. The record is from RNAcentral.
GACGAACGCUGGCGGCGUGCUUAACACAUGCAAGUCGAACGGAAAGGCCUCUUUCGGGGGGUACUCGAGUGGCGAACGGGUGAGUAACACGUGAGUAACCUGCCCUUGACUUUGGGAUAACUUCAGGAAACUGGGGCUAAUACCGGAUAGGAGCUCCUGCUGCAUGGUGGGGGUUGGACAGUUUCGGCGGUUGGGGAUGGACUCGCGGCUUAUCAGCUUGUUGGUGGGGUAGUGGCUUACCAAGGCUUUGACGGGUAGCCGGCCUGAGAGGGUGACCGGCCACAUUGGGACUGAGAUACGGCCCAGACUCCUACGGGAGGCAGCAGUGGGGAAUAUUGCACAAUGGGUGGAAGCCUGAUGCAGCAACGCCGUGUGCGGGAUGACGGCCUUCGGGUUGGAAACCGCUUUCGCUCAUGACGAAGCUUUGUGUGACGGUAGUGGGCAAAGAAGCACCGGCUAACUACGUG